This 460-nucleotide ribosomal RNA is filed under the name uncultured bacterium. Its description in RNAcentral is "bacterial SSU rRNA". It matches the Rfam family "Bacterial small subunit ribosomal RNA", at positions 338 to 795 of the family's 1533-position model. The record is from RNAcentral.
CCUACGGGAGGCAGCAGUGAGGAAUAUUGGACAAUGGGCGCAAGCCUGAUCCAGCCAUGCCGCGUGCAGGAAGAAGCAUCUAUGGUGUGUAAACUGCUUUUGUACGGGAAGAAACACUCCUACGUGUAGGAGCUUGACGGUACCGUAAGAAUAAGGAUCGGCUAACUCCGUGCCAGCAGCCGCGGUAAUACGGAGGAUCCAAGCGUUAUCCGGAAUCAUUGGGUUUAAAGGGUCUGUAGGCGGUUUGGUAAGUCAGUGGUGAAAGCCCUUCGCUUAACGAAGGAACGGCCAUUGAUACUGCCAGACUUGAAUUAUUGGGAAGUAACUAGAAUAUGUAGUGUAGCGGUGAAAUGCUUAGAUAUUACAUGGAAUACCAAUUGCGAAGGCAGGUUACUACCGGUUAAUUGACGCUGAUGGACGAAAGCGUGGGGAGCGAACAGGAUUAGAUACCCUUGUAGUC